This 246-nucleotide ribosomal RNA is filed under the name Escherichia coli. RNAcentral's name for it is "partial 23S ribosomal RNA". It matches the Rfam family "Bacterial large subunit ribosomal RNA", at positions 1133 to 1378 of the family's 2925-position model. Lineage: Bacteria; Pseudomonadati; Pseudomonadota; Gammaproteobacteria; Enterobacterales; Enterobacteriaceae. The record is from RNAcentral.
AGUAAUAGCUCACUGGUCGAGUCGGCCUGCGCGGAAGAUGUAACGGGGCUAAACCAUGCACCGAAGCUGCGGCAGCGACACUAUGUGUUGUUGGGUAGGGGAGCGUUCUGUAAGCCUGUGAAGGUGUGCUGUGAGGCAUGCUGGAGGUAUCAGAAGUGCGAAUGCUGACAUAAGUAACGAUAAAGCGGGUGAAAAGCCCGCUCGCCGGAAGACCAAGGGUUCCUGUCCAACGUUAAUCGGGGCAGG